RNAcentral lists this unclassified non-coding RNA (201 nucleotides) under Hevea brasiliensis (rubber tree). The record is from RNAcentral. Lineage: Eukaryota; Viridiplantae; Streptophyta; Magnoliopsida; Malpighiales; Euphorbiaceae.
GUGGACGUCAGUCGGCACGGGGGCGGCGACCGAUGAGUCGUCGGGAUCGUAGUUGGGAUCGAGGGAGCGGUCGAUGGCCUCGCGGCCCUUUUCCAGGCAGGGCUUGCAGGCGGUUUCGAUGGUGACCCAGGCGAGGAUGACGGCAACUAUGGCGAUCGCGGCGGUUGUGAUCGCUGCCAUCUCUGUUCUCGCAGACUUCGC